RNAcentral lists this non-coding RNA (120 nucleotides) under Streptococcus alactolyticus. Its description in RNAcentral is "Glycine riboswitch". It matches the Rfam family "Glycine riboswitch aptamer", at positions 8 to 87 of the family's 94-position model. Rfam says of the family: This family represents the bacterial glycine riboswitch. Lineage: Bacteria; Bacillati; Bacillota; Bacilli; Lactobacillales; Streptococcaceae. The record is from RNAcentral.
CGGACUUCUGGAGAGACCUGAUGAUGACAAUCAUCACCACGUUAGAAACGUGGAUACAGGCGCCGAAGGGGCAAAGUUGUCACAGACAACUCAAACUCUCAGGCAAAAGGACAGAAGAUA